ACGAACCGUACAAACGUUACUCGGAAUUACUGGGCUUAAAGGGUGCGUAGGCUGCGCGGAAAGUUGGGUGUGAAAUCCCUCGGCUCAACCGGGGAAUUGCAUCCAAAACUACCGUGCUAGAGGGAGAUAGAGGUGAGCGGAACUCAAGGUGGAGCGGUGAAAUGCGUUGAUAUCUUGAGGAACACCGGUGGCGAAGGCGGCUCACUGGAUCUCUUCUGACGCUGAGGCACGAAGGCCAAGGUAGCAAACGGG
Molecule: ribosomal RNA, 252 nt
Filed under: uncultured bacterium
Lineage: Bacteria
Description: partial 16S ribosomal RNA
Rfam family: Bacterial small subunit ribosomal RNA
Source: RNAcentral